RNAcentral lists this long non-coding RNA (3076 nucleotides) under Pogonomyrmex barbatus (red harvester ant). RNAcentral describes it as "uncharacterized LOC105433037". The record is from RNAcentral. Lineage: Eukaryota; Metazoa; Arthropoda; Insecta; Hymenoptera; Formicidae.
UUAUUAUUACGAUGAUUAUUAUCCUUCAUUAUUUUAUUUUAUUUCAUUAUUAUUACUGAUAUUAUUAUGUUGAGCGUCUUUAUUGUCAUCGUUAUUAUCAUCACCAUGGUCACGAUCGUCAUCGUUUCCAUUUUCAUUAUUAUCAUCAUUCUCAUUGUCGCGUUUAUCAAUUACGUUGUUAUCGAUAUCGAUGUCAUCAAUAUAUUGACAUGUCGCUGUUGACUGAAAAUGAUCAUCGGCCACAUGACGGUUCAGUAUCGGUAAACCAACCGAAUCCACACACCCGCAUUACAUAGGAGUAAGAAGGAAUUGACGUACCAAUGUCGAGAGAACUUGUUUGUGCCUACGACUCUCUUCAUGUAACACGGUAACGCUUUUACACGCCGUAAUGUGCGAUGGAUAUACACCGGCGACUCGUUGUGCGCGAUCGCAUGUAUAACUGUGAAUUAUAACGAAUUGAAGCUAUCGCAGAUCUCAUUGUAUUCACAGCCCCACAGGACGAGUAAGCGUGUUUCCGAAUUAGUUGUAAUCGAAAUUUCGAUUGUCGCGAAAUCCGAUUAUAUCCUCUUGAAAGGCAUGAAACUGAAAAGGAAACGACGAUCGCGCGUUCCAUCGGCUCCUCGAGACGGGUAUGAAACAUUGGACAUCUGUAAAUAAACUUUCAUUUUAUCUCUAUCAUGUUCACAAAUUAAGUCACGCACGUUAACAUAAACAUCGCAAGAGAUAUAUAAUGUAUAAAGUAAAAGUUCGCGCUCUUCUGAUUUUAUCGGAUAUUUAAUUUCAAUUUCCUUUUAUUCACUGUUCAGGGAAUAUGAAAUAUUUCUAAUUGAAUUAUUGGAAUAUUUAUAUUCCACAUUAGAAUAUUUGUAGUAUGUAUGAGCCUGAGUAUAAACAGUAAAUAACUUUUAUAUAACUUCAAUUUUGGGUUAUAUAUUGUAGAAGAUGUAAAAGAGUAGCAAUAUUAGCGUCCAAUAAGCGCUAUCAAGAUAAUAUUGAAUUGUAUCCGUAUAAAAAUCCAUUACUAAAGUCCGAACUAUCCUGAUACAUUAAUUGUCGAAAUGAUUUCUUUGAUAUGUGUACACUGCCUAUUUUUUCUACACAAGGAUGCACGAUAGUUCCAUCAUUACUAUGCGAAUUGUAAUUAAAUAUACAUUAAGGAAUGUUUCGCUAUGAGUCAUGUUCAUUCCUCGAAACGCAAAGUAUGUCUCUGUGAAUAUCCUAACGCGAUGAGGAUAUCAUUCGCGUAUUAUUUGUAAUAAUAAUAAUUUUUCAUCUGCUGGUAGUUUUAAAUACGAUGUCAGUCGCGCAGAAAACUCGCAUAGUUUCCGUGCUGUAUUUUUCAAAGCAAUAUCACAGCUUCGGUUUCAUGCCUUCCAAAGCGAAAUUAUUAUCAUGUGAGAAAGUGAUCUAUCGUGAUGAACAGUUGAAACAAUUACAUUUUACAUAACAUAUCGAUGAAGUAAGGUUUUUCUGUCUGUAGACUCUAUAGCGUAUAUAAUGAAAAUUUAGUAACACGUAAACGCGAGGAACAAAUAGAAGUUAUAUGACAUUGCAGUUGAUUCGCACCAAUGUGUAUCGAUUAAAAGGAGAAAAAAAAACGAUGAGACAGAACUUUUUUCGAUGCAAAUUAUCCUCUAUGAGAAGAGUGUGACGGACAACUCUUGUUUUUUGAUCCAUGUACGUUUUUGAUUAUUAAAAGAGACAUUAACGAACAAAUGAGAAAGAAGAAAAUCAAUGGUACGUCUGCGCUCGAUUCUAUUUCAAUGAUCGAGAAAAAUAAUGAAAAUCUAUAUUGUCGGAAUUAAUAAUAAAAACUGAAUUGUACAUGAUAUUCACUGAGACAAAUUGAUUUAAAUGCGGAACGGAAGAGAUAACUCAUCGAAUACGGUAUACAUGCAAUAACAUAACGAACUCUCUUUGCUGCGAACAUAUUUAAUCAUUAUUUUUCAUGAUGAGGAGAGCCUUGUAUCACGAGGCAUUUCAAGGGAUUUACACGAAGUGACAUGCGAUUUUCUGCUAGUGGUUCGCAACGAAAGCGACCAAGAGAAAUAAGAAUUUAAACGAAAAUCCAAAGAGCAUGGAGAGCAAGGAUCCUGUCAGCCAUAUUGAUAAAAUAAGCAAGAAUACGGCAAGCGGCAAAACACGGAAAUGAUGAAUGCGAAGAAAUUUGUGUUACGUCCAAAGGUUUCACCACCUACAUGCUAGUCUGGCCGAUGACUUCGUACCAGUUCUGAGAUAUAUAUGCGCAUACGUACCGUGUUAUAUAAUACGCCAUCGUUGUAUCCAUUGAAAUAACUUAACUACCUGGCAAGCGCAUCCAACAAAAUGGAAACCAUGUACUUACGGAGUUAUUGCAUAGCCACAUAGUAUACUCGGACCCGUACGUGCUCUCGUACGAUAGAAAAAGCGAAUGAAAGACGGAAGAGAGGGAGAGAACCACUCCGUCGAACAUUUUGAAAAGUUGAUACGCUUAAAAAAACCUAGAAAAUCUAUGGGAUUUCAUUACACUUUCUCUCUCUCCCUCUCUUUCUCUCUCUCUCAUUAUCUGUAUCUUGUCCACUGUCGACGCACUGAGAGUAUCGUUCCUUUUUCUUGUGAACUUGCCGCGAUUGACAAGCGAUCAUCGAAUUAGGGCGUCGUUUUAUGUUUAUAUGAGCGGACACUGAAAGUGAGUGAGUGAUCUGACGAAUGUCUGACACCUGAUGAUACGCUGUGCGUGGAAAGAGAACGAGUCGUGAAGAGACAUUUUACUUCGGAGCGCUUUUCUCCUGACGAGGCCGUAGCUUCGUGCAUGUUAUAUCCGCCGUAUUUGUACAUAAGAUACUAGACCGCAUUCGCGAAUCGUCCUCGCGAGUAGAAUUGUUCGUGCGAACUAAUAGCGAGCGGCACAUGUAAUUGUAAUUCCUCAUCGAAUGAGAACACGUGCGUGCGAGAUGUCCACGUGAACUCAACGCAGAAAAAGAGAGAGUUUCCGAUAUUUAUAUCACUGUCCUGCCACCGGGAAAUCCGUGCUGGUGUAAUUAUAAAAUAAAUAUCCUGCUGUGCAACCAUGUUGCACAAGAACGUUUAGCCCGUA